This 3196-nucleotide long non-coding RNA is filed under the name Homo sapiens (human). Its description in RNAcentral is "non-protein coding lnc-TMEM211-2:8". Lineage: Eukaryota; Metazoa; Chordata; Mammalia; Primates; Hominidae. The record is from RNAcentral.
ACGUGCUGGCCCUGUCCACACAGACGUCGACUCCAGCAAAAAUGUCCUGACUGACUUCAGGAGAGAGGAAUUAUUGCUACGUGCCUCUUUCCCAGUGAAGAAAAUCUCUGUUGGCUGCGAGCAGAGAAGCGGCGGAAGGAUUCCCGACUCCGGGAAGCCAGGUGUCGGAAGGAGGAAGUACGCUUGAAGGGGGUCCGGCUGGCCGACUCUGCACUCGUCCGUUCGUGGCCCACCGUGGUGGUCACCAAAUUGAGGGCUUCCUGGAAGGACCUCCUCACGGUGCCCAUCCACUGGGUCAUGUGGGUCUGGGCCACUGUGAGUUUAUCUCCCAGGUAAUCCAUGGGGCCAGCCAGGAGGAGAGGGAAGAAGGAAGUUAGGGAGGGAGAGAGCAAUUAAAACGCCAGUGUCCUCUUGCCUCUUUGGACUCUUUUGCUCAUGGAAGUUUUGGGCUUGCUUGGAGGAAAAAAAAUUAAAAACAGCAGCUUUCUUCAGGCAAACCAAGGGUAAGUAAACAUCCCUGAGCCAGGAGCCGGCUGCAUCCACGGGUGCCGCUCAGAAUUAAGAGGCAGCUAAGUGCCAGGCUGGGAGUCCACCCCAGCGGAGUUAUAAAGUCAACACACUGGGCAGUCCAGGUUCCAGUUCCAGGGCUCACCCAGCUGAUCGGCCGAGACAAGGAGCUUUGAGGAACAAGCCGGCUGCACUCACUCCAGGGCGUGACGGUCCCGAAAGGCGGGGGAUGGGGAUGGGGGUGGGGGUGGAGGGGGCGGCCUUUGGGCACCCUCGUCCUCACUUCCCUUCAGGUAGGCAGCCCCCCUGAGGUGCACCCUGGGAGGUUCCGGUGGGCAAGCUGCCGCACCCUGCUGCCCCCUGCCCGGCUGCCCUCGGCCAGACCCCGCUCACCUGACCCAUGCAGGUUUUCUGUCCUCUGGCUGGAGAUUCCAAACCUGUCGGCCGGCAGGCGGCUAGCUCACUUCCGGAGGCAGCCACCAGGGCCCCCGGGUCCCCUGGCUGAGCAGCCCGGGAUGACAUCAGCCCCCGUCUUAGCGAGGGGCUUCGCUGCCCAGGAAUGCAGGAGGGGCCUCGGGGAGGCGGAGGCGGUGGCGGCGGCCGCCCAGGGAGCUGACGUCCGCCCCCAUUUUUUUCUCCCCCAAGUCCCAACUCGCUCACGGUCCCUCGGGGCUGAUGGCAACUUCACGUGCCUGCCAGCCUACCCACCCCUGUGCCCUCACAGCAAGCGCACCAGGAAAUGCGGCUGCACGUGUGUGCAUGUGUGUGCACUCUGUGUGUGUGUGCGUGUAUGUCGGCGAUCUGGCAGCCCCGGGAAGGUUAGCACUGCUGGGAAACGGCUUCUGCCUCUAAGGUUACAGGCAGCGUCUUGGGACCUCUGGUCGGCUGUCAGUCUGUCUCCCUCUCGUGGUCUGUUUCUCUGUUGAUUUCUCAGCCUCGCUCUCCUCCCUCUCCCUGUGUCUCAACUUCCACUUGCUUGUCUCUAAGCGUCUCUCCUCUCUCUCUCCUUUUCAGCUGUCUCUCCCUCCCUCUCUGGAAGGCAACACUGAUCCAGGUGAGACAGCCUCUGAGGUCCCCCAGGAAGGACUGGGGAGGGCUGUAUUUCAGUACAGGCGGAGUUGCCAUGGCAACCCGGGGCACAGCAUCUGCCCUGUCCUGGGCAGCAGGCUCAGCACUGGGAGCAAUGGGAAUGAUUCAUGGUUUACACUAGGUCACGUGAGCUCCCUGGGUUUUAACCCUUACAGGGCUGGAGUACUAGGGGUUGGGGGUACGACUAGACCCUAACACCCACUGUCCUCGGCCAGGCCCCGCUCAUCUGACCCAUGCAGGUUUUCUGUCCUCUGCCUGGAGAUCCCAAACAUGUCAGGGGUUGUUAGAAGGGGGUGGGCAGCAGCUGGAUCCUGGAGGUCAGGCACACCUGUUAAAGGAGGUUUCUCCUUCUAGCAGGGAUCCAUGUCCCCCCAACCCCACUACUUUUACAGACAAGGAAAUGCAGAUUCAGAGACAUAGAUUCACUUGCCCAAGGUCACACAGCAAGGAUGUCACCAGGCAUGCACCAGAGCUGCUCCCACCCCAGGUUUUCCCAGGUCUGACAUGGUACCUGGCCCAGAGUCAGGGCUCUGUAAAUAUUUAUUGUUCGGACACCAAGUACACAAUUGAAACCCAGGUCGCUCAGAAUGCAUCCUAUGUCCUUUCCACCACCACCUCACUUCAGUUUUGAACAAAUAUUUGUUUUCUAGACACUGGUCAAAGGGCCUCACUUGAGAAAGUUUAUCACAAAGGACUCUCUGGCAAUAUGGCCAACAGAUCUCUUUCUUUUCUAUGUAUUCCCAGUCCUUACAGCUAUUCAUUCUCUUUCUCUCCCUGUCUCUCUUCUUCUUUUUUUGGAUACAGGAUCUCACUCUGUUGCCCAGGCUGGACUGCAGUGGCAUGAUCACAGCUCACUGCAGCCUUGGCCUCCCAGGCUCAAGCGAUCCUCCCACCUCAGCCUCCUCGGUAGCUAGGACUACAGGUGGAGCAACACCGUCAGUCAGAAGGCAGCGGAUGGCACAGGGCUUCCGCGUAAGGCCUGCAUCGCCUGAGUCAUGGUUUUCUCAUCUUGUAUGAGGCCCACCCCCUUCAAAAGGUUGUGACAAAAAAAACAACUGAGAUAAUUUGUGCCGCUGGCACAUAGUUAACACUCAAUAAGGCCGGGCGCAGUGGCUUACACCUCUAAUCCCAGCACUUUGGGAGGCUGAGGCAGGUGGAUCACUUGAGGCCAGGAGUUCGAUACCAGCCUGACCAACAUGGUGAAACCCCAUCUCAACUAAAAAUACAAAAAUUAGCCAGGCAUGGUGGUGUGCACCUGUAGUCCCAGCUACUUGGGAGCCUGAGGCAGGAGCAUCUCUUGAACCCGGGAGGUGGAGGUUGCAGUGAGCGGAGAUGGCACCACUGCACUCCAGCCUGGGCGACAGAACAAGACUCUGUCUCAAAACAACAACAACAACAAAAUAAUAAAUGGUGACCACAAGGGAUGAUCGUUUUUCUAUUAUAAUUCCUAUCAUCUCACUGUUCAAAUGAAUCACAGGACCCUAGACAGUCAGAAUCAAGACACCAGCAGGGACCAACCUAGGCCAACCUUCCCACUAAACUGAAGAAACAGGCCCAGACCGAGGGCUGCCCUAAGGCCUCACAGUCCAUCUGCAGCAGG